UUCUCUUUGCUUUUGAGUUGA
Molecule: non-coding RNA, 21 nt
Organism: Caenorhabditis elegans
Lineage: Eukaryota; Metazoa; Nematoda; Chromadorea; Rhabditida; Rhabditidae
Source: Ensembl